GUUCCAAUAGUGCAAUGGAUAGCGCGUUGGACUUCUAAUCCAAAGGUCGUGGGUUCGAAUCCCAUCUGGGAUG
Molecule: transfer RNA, 73 nt
Filed under: Trichonephila clavata
Lineage: Eukaryota; Metazoa; Arthropoda; Arachnida; Araneae; Nephilidae
Rfam family: tRNA
About the family: Transfer RNA (tRNA) molecules are approximately 80 nucleotides in length. Their secondary structure includes four short double-helical elements and three loops (D, anti-codon, and T loops).
Source: Rfam by way of RNAcentral